RNAcentral lists this transfer RNA (63 nucleotides) under Elaphe davidi (Pere David's rat snake). RNAcentral describes it as "tRNA-Asp". Lineage: Eukaryota; Metazoa; Chordata; Lepidosauria; Squamata; Colubridae. The record is from RNAcentral.
GAGAACCUAGUAAACAUAAUUACAUAACCUUGUCAUGGUUAAAUCACAUUCUUGUGGUUCUCA